UCUGUUUGAUCCUGGCGGAGGCCACUGCUAUCGGAGUUCGAUUAAGCCAUGCGAGUCGAGAGGUGCAAGACCUCGGCAUACUGCUCAGUAACACGUGGACAAUCUAACCUACGGAGGGGGAUAACCCCGGGAAACUGGGGAUAAUACCCCAUAGACUAUGGAUGCUGGAAUGCUUUGUAGUCGAAAGGUCCGCCGCCGUAGGAUGGGUCUGCGGCCGAUUAGGUUGUUGUUGGGGUAACGGCCCAACAAGCCUGUAAUCGGUACGGGUUGUGGGAGCAAGAGCCCGGAGAUGGAUUCUGAGACACGAAUCCAGGCCCUACGGGGCGCAGCAGGCGCGAAAACUUUACAAUGCGGGAAACCGUGAUAGGGGAACUCCGAGUGCCCGUUAAAUCGGGCUGUCCACCAGUUUAAAUAACUGGUGAAGAAAGGGCCGGGCAAGACCGGUGCCAGCCGCCGCGGUAAUACCGGCGGCUCGAGUGGUGGCCACUAUUACUGGGCUUAAAGCGUUCGUAGCUGGUUUGUUAAGUCUCUGGGGAAAUCUUCCGGCUUAACCGGAAGGCGUCUCAGGGAUACUGGCAGACUAGGGACCGGGAGAGGUGAGGGGUACUCCAGGGGUAGGAGUGAAAUCCUGUAAUCCUUGGGGGACCACCUGUGGCGAAGGCGCCUCACCAGAACGGCUCCGACAGUGAGGGACGAAAGCUGGGGGAGCAAACCGGAUUAGAUACCCGGGUAGUCCCAGCUGUAAACGAUGCGCGUUAGGUGUAUCGAUGACCACGAGUCAUCGAGGUGCCGAAGAGAAAUCGUGAAACGUGCCGCCUGGGAAGUACGGUCGCAAGGCUGAAACUUAAAGGAAUUGGCGGGGGAGCACCACAACGGGUGGAGCCUGCGGUUUAAUCGGACUCAACGCCGGGAAACUCACCAGUUAAGACAGCUGAAUGAUAGUCGGGCUGAAGACUCUACUUGACUAGCUGAGAGGAGGUGCAUGGCCGUCGUCAGUUCGUACUGUGAAGCAUCCUGUUAAGUCAGGCAACGAGCGAGACCCA
This 1043-nucleotide ribosomal RNA is filed under the name uncultured archaeon. Its description in RNAcentral is "bacterial SSU rRNA". It matches the Rfam family "Archaeal small subunit ribosomal RNA", at positions 1 to 1054 of the family's 1478-position model. The record is from RNAcentral.